Mesocricetus auratus (golden hamster) is the source of this 3609-nucleotide long non-coding RNA. RefSeq lists it as uncharacterized. The record is from RefSeq and is a predicted model, not a curated record. The transcript is spliced from 10 exons. NCBI's taxonomy places the organism in Eukaryota, Metazoa, Chordata, Mammalia, Rodentia, Cricetidae.
GAUGUUAGCUGUUGGUUUACUGUAUAUUGCUUUUAUGUUCAGCUUGAUUAUACAGUGAAUCACAUUGGAAGAAUUGCAUAUUUUGAACAAUGCCUGACUGAGUGGGUUGAAGCCCACUUGAUCAUGAAUAAUUUGAGGAGUAUGAACAUUAGAUCUUCUGACAGCUAUUGAGCCACAAUGAAUGUGGCUGAGCAAACAUCUGUGGACUGUGAAGAGUCCUUAGAACAUAUGACAAGGAGUGGUGUAUUGGGAUCCUAUAGGUGAAGCCUUGCUUCUUGAGCUGAAUUCACAACAAGAAAGUGGCCUACCAGCACACAGCAGAAGACAUCAAUGAUUAAUUUGAAGAAAUUUGGAAAUGUGACUAAUUUGAAGAUAGCAUUCAGACCUGGGAUCCCUGGCAAGUUGGAUCUCAGUAUUGGUUAUGACUUAGACAUAUGCUUCUCUCACCUAGCAACUCAAACUGUUCACAAGUUUAUGCUCAAUGGAGAGAAAGGUAACCAAGGUACAGCUUUCUUCUGAGGAAAAUAGAAGCACAAGAAGUACCUGGAUUGAAAAGUUGGCAUGAGAAUAACUUAUGAUGGUACAGAACCUUGAAGGAACAAACCAUAAGAAGCUCAAUUACAACUACCACAUAAAGAAUCCUUCCCUAAAACACUCAGGUCCGAAAUGUGAUCCAUAUGAAAACUCUGCUCCUGACCAAAUGUCCUGCCAAGUAGAAGAUAAUUACAAGGAACUGACUUCUGAGUCUAUCUCAAGGAAUGAAGCAGAGAUUAGACUGUGGGAACCAAGAUUAUUGACUGCAUGACUCAACUCCCUACAGGAAGUCCCACAGAGUUGUGGGGGAUGAGCCACCAUACCAGUACAUGGAAAAUUGUGCCUGAUAAUCUAUAUGCUACUGAAUCUUGCACCAAAAGAAAGUGCUUAUGGCUUCACAAGAGAUUUACUCUAAGAACAGCCAUUAUACAAAAGAUGAUGAGCCCAGAAUUCUUGCAACUGAGUUUAUCUCCAUUAGAACACUUCACUCUGGUGCUUCACACUUCUGCUUUAUCAUUUGAAGUCUCACUGCAUAACUCUUGUGGAUCACAGCACUGGAGGAAGUAGGUAACUGAAUGCACAUCUUUAAAAGUCAUACCUUAUUUAGAUUUCACCUGUUUUUACUUUUUCUAGACAUCUUAACUUACAUAGCUCUCUUCCAUUCGGCCCUCACAACCAUAAUGGAGAUAUUCCACUGGGUGCAGGAAUGAAAUUAAAACAAGCAAAGAAACAAACAAACAAAGAACUUGAUUUAAACUGUUCUGCAGAUAUUUUUCCAGCACAAUGCAAAAUACUAAACACAUUUCAGUAAUAAAUAUGUAAGUAAAAUUGAGGGAAACAGGUUCUAACAAGACAGAUCGAUGGAUAAAGCACUUGCCACCUACAAAGAUGACCCAGAAUCCACAUAGUGGAUAGGAAACCAUGACUCUCUCAGACUGUAUUCUAACCUCCAAAUAUACACGAUGGUGCACAUACACACACAUAUGCGCACACAAAUACACCACACUAUCAAGUCCCAGAGUUUUCACCAUAACAGCACCCUAUGUCAUAGAAGCUUGCACAUCUCUACCAGUCUGAUAAGCUUUGCGACCUGGUUUAGUCAAUAAGUUUUAGUCUUGCAAAUACUUACAUCUUGGAACGUGUAAUAUGUAUAUGUAAUAGGCAAUCAUAGGAGAAACACAAAUGUGGUUAAUUUAUUCACUUUCCCAAGCUAGAAUCCAGCUAGUCACCAGGCAUUGGAAAAUGUUGAGAGAAAGUUAGAUCUUCCCAGAGUGUAUCACUCUAAGUUAUUGCUCUAUAGGCUUUUGAGCUAAAAAAAAAAGUAGCUAUGAUACUGAAUUUGGUAGAGCUUUCCCAUGUAGGAUUAUUACAGCAAUACAUAACAGAAAAAUUGCCCAACAUGGUACAUGCUGCACUAGCCUCAAAUGAAGUUAGGUACAUUUGAGUCUCUGAAUCUUACAGCAAUAAAACUUUGUGCUGUACUUUUGAAUACUCUAAGGAAAAGCUCUGCCUGCUGUGAGUAGCAAUGAAACAAUGGGUUGCUUCCAAUUCCUACCUUGAAGCACAAAUAUGUAUCUGCUUUAAUGUGUUUUAUGAUCUUUCUAAAACCUGGUUAAAGAUGCAAUGCAUUUUAUUACAAGAAUAACAGAAAAUUUAGAAGUGCAUGUAUUCCUAUAUUGACUGUCUGUUCAAUAUAGGAAAAUUUAGUGCUUUGAAAAGAUUUCUGACGGGUCACCCAUACUAUGUAUAGGCAAAUCUUAUCUAGGUAUUAAAGUACUACAUUGUACCUCCUAAAACACAUAGUUACUGUAAAUUAAAUAAAUCAAUAUUUUUGAAUAUUUAAAGAAAAGUAAAUCCUAGCUAUGCUGAUUUGAUCAAUACAUAACAGGUUUUAUAUCCUUAUAUUCCAUAUAUUAUAUAUACAUAUAUAUAAUUAAGAUAAAUACAAAACAUUAUAAUAGAAAAUUUGAGGCUUAUGAGCAGAUAAAGCAGACAUAUACACUUUUUAAAAUCAACCAAAGAAAUUAAUUUUAUCUUUUUUAACAGUUGGUGUUCCUGAUAUAAGAAAAUGAUUCUCUGGGAAAUAUAUGAUUAAAAGAAAAAUGAUACCUAUGUAAUAAAUAAGUAGAUGGUUUAAUAUUCACAUGUCUAGCUUAGCUCCAUAAUUUUUAAAAGACUAUUGCCUGGGUUUUAGGAAACAAAAAAUUACAUUAUGUUUACUAGUUACAACGUGUCCUUCUGGACAUACAAGUUAUUCAUUCACCUAUAUAAUUAACUCCAAAACAUUUUUUUAAGUUUCACACUUGUAUACAGAGUUACAUUAUAAAGACCAAACAGGCUAUAUUUAUGAAUAUAUAUGUAUAUACAUAUAUGAAUUGAUAAUAAUUAGUGAAACAGAGGCCAUGAAUCUGAAGGAAAGGGGUAAAAGAUAUAUAGGAUGAUUUCAAGGAUGAGAGGGAAGGGAGAAAUGUUAAAAUUAUAAUCUCAGAAAAAGAAAAGUUUUAUGUUUGCAAAGAUGACAGAAAAUAAAAUAGAGGUUGCUUAUGGCUAACAUUAUACCACACUAGGAAACAUGAUAUGCUUCCAUUCCCAAAAAUUGAAUAUAGGAAUGGCAUAUAAGGAACUACAGUUUUAUGGCGCAUCAUCUACAGCAGUGGUUCUCAAUCAGUGGGUCACAACCCACUUGGGGUUGCCUAAGACCAUUGGAGAACGCAGAUAUUUACAUUGCUAUUCAUAACAGUAGCAAAAUUAGUUAUGAGGUGGCAACAAAAAAAUUUUAUGGUUUGGAGGUAUUUAAAACCUGAGGGAGUGUAUUAAAGGGUUUCUGCAGUAGGAAGGUUGAGAACCAGUGAUCUCAAUGCUGUUAUAUUUAUCACCAACAAAGACCAUGCUGGGGAAACCCACAAAAACAGCUCACCUGAUCAAGCGGGAAUUCAUGGACACCACCAUAGGACUGAAGCAGGCCCCCUGAACGUGGGUGUCAGUUGGGAGGCCUGGGCACUCUAUAGGGUCUCUGGCCAUGGAACCAGUAUUUAUCCCUAGUGCAUAAAUUGAUUUUGGGAUCCCAUUCCCUAA